CCGUGUUGGGCAAUGAUUUUUAUGUUUAUUACACUGUGAAGACUCUUACAUUUUGUCCUUUAAGGGUUUUCUUAACGUACGAUCAGGCCGAGUCACAGCUGCCCUGUUUUCCAGAGUUCAAGAGAGAAUAACAAGAUGAGGGGAAAAAAAGAUUGAAGUUACUCAGAGGAAGUAAAAAAAGAGAAGUUGAAGCUGUAACUCUCUCUCAAGAGUGUUUGAGAGUAAAGGGUGUGUGAACGAGAGAGAGCACGAAGUGAGAUCCGUCACUUCAGAAGGAUUAAAAUGUCUUUAUCUGUGAUACUGAUGCUUCUGUUUACAGACAGAUCAGAUCAGGAGAACAAGUUUCAGAAGCUCGUGUGUUGCUGAAUGUUAUUAACAAUACCUCGGACGAUGCCUCCAGGUUUUACUGCUCUGUGUUCAGAUUUGGAGUCUGUGCCCACACAGUGCAGUGGUAUUAUAAGGGUGAUGAGACAGAUAUAUCAGAACACCAACAGGUCGACUGUACAGCUAUUGUGUCAUUUAAAACUCCUCAUGUUGUUCAGAAGUCAAACUUUAAUGAGUUGCUGUAUUGUAAAGUAACAGACAAUAAGAGUGGACAAACACUGCUGUGUAAUGUCUUCUCUAAGUCCUCCUGUGAGAAAACAGACACAACAGGAAGCACAUCAGCAGGAGGAGAUGAAAUGAAAGAGGCGACAAACCAAAUUGGUUGCCAUAUGUGAUUGUAGCCGCUGGUUUAGCAGCCUUCUUAAUCAUCUUAAUAGUUGUUGUGGCAUUCAUCAGACGGAAGAGAACUAAAGGCAACAAAACACAGACGGACAAAAACAUUGCGGAGCAUGAAGAUAUUGUUGCCUACGCCUCCAUCAGCUACACCAAGAAGGGCAACAGUAGAGCUCAGGCUGAUGGAGAUAAAGAAGGUGAAGGUGUGACGUACAGCACUGUGAAAGUCCCCUCCUCUGACACUGAAGCCUCUGUUGACCCCAGCAGCCUGUACGCCACCGUCAACAAACCAAACAAGAGAGAGACAACAGGAUAGUUACAGCUCAUGUCACUAAUCUUGAUAGACCAAUGAAUGUGACUCCUCCCUCCUGCAGCUCUUACAUGUGUCUUUAAUUUAAUCUUCAUUACUCUCUCAUUGUGUUUUGUGCAUUUUGUGGAUACUUUCUCAGAGUUCUUGCAGAGUUUCUACACACAUAUGAACAUCAAAUAGAUGUGUGAAAUAAAAGAGGUGGCUGGAGAGGAUGAGAGGAAGUGGUUUGUGACAUCCGUUAUCGACACUGAAGUUAAAAAAAGAGUCACACUAAACUGAAAACUGAGAAAACCA
Non-coding RNA from Labrus bergylta (ballan wrasse), 1321 nucleotides. NCBI's taxonomy places the organism in Eukaryota, Metazoa, Chordata, Actinopteri, Labriformes, Labridae. The record is from RefSeq and is a predicted model, not a curated record.